Molecule: ribosomal RNA, 500 nt
Filed under: uncultured bacterium
Lineage: Bacteria
Description: partial 16S ribosomal RNA
Rfam family: Bacterial small subunit ribosomal RNA
Source: RNAcentral
AUUGAACGCUGGCGGCAGGCCUAACACAUGCAAGUCGAGCGGAUGAGAGGAGCUUGCUUCUUGAUUCAGCGGCGGACGGGUGAGUAAUGCCUAGGAAUCUGCCUGGUAGUGGGGGACAACGUUUCGAAAGGAACGCUAAUACCGCAUACGUCCUACGGGAGAAAGCAGGGGACCUUCGGGCCUUGCGCUAUCAGAUGAGCCUAGGUCGGAUUAGCUAGUUGGUGAGGUAAUGGCUCACCAAGGCGACGAUCCGUAACUGGUCUGAGAGGAUGAUCAGUCACACUGGAACUGAGACACGGUCCAGACUCCUACGGGAGGCAGCAGUGGGGAAUAUUGGACAAUGGGCGAAAGCCUGAUCCAGCCAUGCCGCGUGUGUGAAGAAGGUCUUCGGAUUGUAAAGCACUUUAAGUCGGGAGGAAGGGUUGUACGUUAAUACCGUGCAAUUUUGACGUUACCGACUGAAUAAGCACCGGCUAACUCUGUGCCAGCCGCCGCCGUAA